This 281-nucleotide ribosomal RNA is filed under the name Acinetobacter baumannii. RNAcentral's name for it is "partial 23S ribosomal RNA". It matches the Rfam family "Bacterial large subunit ribosomal RNA", at positions 1 to 282 of the family's 2925-position model. The record is from RNAcentral. Lineage: Bacteria; Pseudomonadati; Pseudomonadota; Gammaproteobacteria; Moraxellales; Moraxellaceae.
GGUUAAGCGACUAAGCGUACACGGUGGAUGCCCUGGCAGUCAGAGGCGAUGAAGGACGUGCUAAUCUGCGAAAAGCGUCGGUAAGGUGAUAUGAACCGUUAUAACCGGCGAUGUCCGAAUGGGGAAACCCAGUGCAAUUCGUUGCACUAUCGUUAACUGAAUACAUAGGUUAACGAGGCGAACCGGGGGAACUGAAACAUCUAAGUACCCCGAGGAAAAGAAAUCAACCGAGAUUCCCCCAGUAGCGGCGAGCGAACGGGGAGCAGCCCAGAGUCUGAAUC